Molecule: ribosomal RNA, 557 nt
Filed under: uncultured bacterium
Lineage: Bacteria
Description: bacterial SSU rRNA
Rfam family: Bacterial small subunit ribosomal RNA
Source: RNAcentral
ACGGGUGCGUAACGCGUGGGAAUCUGCCCUUGGGUUCGGAAUAACAGUUAGAAAUGACUGCUAAUACCGGAUGAUGACUUCGGUCCAAAGAUUUAUCGCCCAGGGAUGAGCCCGCGUCGGAUUAGCUAGUUGGUGAGGUAAAGGCUCACCAAGGCGACGAUCCGUAGCUGGUCUGAGAGGAUGAUCAGCCACACUGGGACUGAGACACGGCCCAGACUCCUACGGGAGGCAGCAGUGGGGAAUAUUGGACAAUGGGCGAAAGCCUGAUCCAGCAAUGCCGCGUGAGUGAUGAAGGCCUUAGGGUUGUAAAGCUCUUUUACCCGGGAUGAUAAUGACAGUACCGGGAGAAUAAGCCCCGGCUAACUCCGUGCCAGCAGCCGCGGUAAUACGGAGGGGGCUAGCGUUGUUCGGAAUUACUGGGCGUAAAGCGCACGUAGGCGGCUUUGUAAGUUAGAGGUGAAAGCCCAGGGCUUAACCCUGGAAUUGCCUUUAAGACUGCAUCGCUAGAAUCGUGGAGAGGUGAGUGGAAUUCCGAGUGUAGAGGUGAAAUUCGUAGA